This 632-nucleotide unclassified non-coding RNA is filed under the name Hevea brasiliensis (rubber tree). Lineage: Eukaryota; Viridiplantae; Streptophyta; Magnoliopsida; Malpighiales; Euphorbiaceae. The record is from RNAcentral.
GAAAAUUUUAUCUUAUUAUGAUUUCUGAAUUUAAAAUAUAAAUAUAAAUACUUAGGUUUUUAUGUGAGUCCUACCAUACAUAUAUAUAUUAUGUAAUAGGCUUAAGUGUCGGCAAAAAUUUUCUGAAAAUUAGCUAUACUAACUUGUGGGAAGCUGCUAUACACUUCCUAUAUAUACACACACGCAGUGAGCCUGCGUAUUGCAGAUUUCCUUCACUAUUAUUUCAAGCUUGCUCAAAAGAAAGAGAAGCUCAGGAUCCACACUAGAGCUUGGCUAUGGCGUCAAUGAAAGAAAAUAAUAAAGAGGAGGAAGAAGUACUAGAGCCGGUGAGCCCAACUGGACACUACUUCAACAGCUCAUUUUUAUCCAUUUCCAUUCUUGGUGUUCUGGAGUCAGCAAUGCCCAUUGAUGACUCGCAUGCUAUGACCUUGCUCAAUAAUGUUUUUCUACCGAUUAACCCACGUUUCUCUUCUAUCAUAGUAUAUAUAUUGCAUCUUCUCUCUGUCUGUAUGUUGUGUGCAUAUCUGCAUUUAUCUGUAUAUGCACCCAUACAUGGUUUAUUAGAACACGCAACUCGGCGCAAGGUGAUAUAUAUGCAUUUUUUUAAAGAAUUAAAAUACAAUGGAUAGAUA